GACGAACGCUGGCGGCGUGCUUAACACAUGCAAGUCGAACGGAAAGGCCCUGCUUUUGUGGGGUGCUUGAGUGGCGAACGGGUGAGUAACACGUGAGUAACCUGCCCUUGACUUUGGGAUAACUUCAGGAAACUGGGGCUAAUACCGGAUAGGAGCUCCUGCUGCAUGGUGGGGGUUGGAAAGUUUCGGCGGUUGGGGAUGGACUCGCGGCUUAUCAGCUUGUUGGUGGGGUAGUGGCUUACCAAGGCUUUGACGGGUAGCCGGCCUGAGAGGGUGACCGGCGACAUUGGGACUGAGAUACGGCCCAGACUCCUACGGGAGGCAGCAGUGGGGAAUAUUGCACAAUGGGCGGAAGCCUGAUGCAGCAACGCCGCGUGCGGGAUGACGGCCUUCGGGUUGUAAACCGCUUUCGCCUGUGACGAAGCGUGAGUGACGGUAAUGGGUAAAGAAGCACCGGCUAACUACGUG
RNAcentral lists this ribosomal RNA (468 nucleotides) under uncultured bacterium. RNAcentral's name for it is "partial 16S ribosomal RNA". It matches the Rfam family "Bacterial small subunit ribosomal RNA", at positions 28 to 507 of the family's 1533-position model. The record is from RNAcentral.